UACGUAUGGUGCAAGCGUUAUCCGGAUUUACUGGGUGUAAAGGGUGCGUAGGUGGCAAGGCAAGUCUGAAGUGAAAAUCCGGGGCUCAACCCUGGAACUGCUUUGGAAACUGUUUAGCUGGAGUACAGGAGAGGUAAGUGGAAUUCCUAGUGUAGCGGUGAAAUGCGUAGAUAUUAGGAGGAACACCAGUGGCGAAGGCGACUUACUGGACUGCUACUGACACUGAGGCACGAAAGCGUGGGGAGCAAACAGG
Molecule: ribosomal RNA, 253 nt
Filed under: Coprococcus eutactus
Lineage: Bacteria; Bacillati; Bacillota; Clostridia; Lachnospirales; Lachnospiraceae
Description: partial 16S ribosomal RNA
Rfam family: Bacterial small subunit ribosomal RNA
Source: RNAcentral